CCUUGACAUGUCACUAACGAAGUAGAGAUACAUUAGGUGCUCGUAAGAGAAAGUGAACACAGGUGCUGCAUGGCUGUCGUCAGCUCGUGUCGUGAGAUGUUGGGUUAAGUCCCGCAACGAGCGCAACCCUUGUCAUUAGUUGCUACAUUCAGUUGGGCACUCUAAUGAGACUGCCGGUGACAAACCGGAGGAAGGUGGGGAUGACGUCAAGUCCUCAUGGCCCUUAUAGGUGGGGCUACACACGUCAUACAAUGGAUGGUACAAAGGGUCGCCAACCCGCGAGGGGGAGCCAAUCCCAUAAAACCAUUCGUAGUCCGGAUCGCAGUCUGCAACUCGACUGCGUGAAGUCGGAAUCGCUAGUAAUCGUGGAUCAGAAUGUCACGGUGAUACGUUCCCGGCUCUUGUACACACCGCCCGUCACACCAUGG
Molecule: ribosomal RNA, 428 nt
Filed under: uncultured beta proteobacterium
Lineage: Bacteria; Pseudomonadati; Pseudomonadota; Betaproteobacteria
Description: bacterial SSU rRNA
Rfam family: Bacterial small subunit ribosomal RNA
Source: RNAcentral